This is a long non-coding RNA of Zingiber officinale, 1018 nucleotides long. RefSeq lists it as uncharacterized. The transcript has 5 exons. Lineage: Eukaryota; Viridiplantae; Streptophyta; Magnoliopsida; Zingiberales; Zingiberaceae. The record is from RefSeq and is a predicted model, not a curated record.
GUACCUAAAGCCCUAAAACGUCGACUCCCUUCUUUUCGUGCCAUCUCCUCCCCGCCGACGGACUCAACUCUGACGCACGCUCGGGCCCGAUCGCCAGCGCCAGAUAGCAAGACGAGCCUCCGAUUUCCUCUACUUCUCAUCGGAGGUCUCACUGGUAGCGUCUUCCAUCGAAACACUGCUUUGCGCAAAGAGUCUUCGGUUGGGUGAGGAGAUUUGAGCUCUGUGGAUGCUAGAGUGUAUCGCCCGUUCCAGAGCUCGAUAUUGGCCCAGGAUUUGCGCUCCAAGCGGCUGUCUCAUCUUCCUGAGCCUAGGACCCAGCUUAUCUUGUCGGGUUUCCUUCGCCGAUGGUGGGGGACUCCGUCAUUAAGGUAGAUUGAGUGUCUCACUGUAAGGCUCGACCAAGAUCUCCAGUAGCAAGUUAUCACCGGUGGGCAUCCUCAGCAGUUGAUUUUCGGCCGUGAGUUGUUAGCUCUGUAGAAGCUCUGUUUGUGGGUGUGUGGCAGCAAACAUCACCUGUGUGUUUGUGCCGACAAUUUCAUCUCCGAGCAGUGGGUCAACCAAGGUGACGUUAUUGUAGAGUAAGGAGUUGGGUUAUGAAUUCUUAGUGUGGAUUGAAUCUGUAUUAAUGUUAUGUUUUAUUUAGGGAAUAAUCUCAUGAUUUGGUAACCCUAAUUGUGUAGUGUAUAUUAGGGGUUUGGAUUCUUGUUGAGUAGAUCAGAAAUGGGGAUUAGUAGAGGGACUUAGAUCGAGGCAGGUGUCAUGAUGAAGUUGACAUUGGUUUUAGACUACAUUUAGAGACGGGUAGCCAGUAGUUGAUGCCAGUACACUUGGAGGAGGAUCUUGACUACCGGUCCCACGUAGCUCCUGAGGACGGAUUUCUAAUUUUGGUUGUGUUUUGAACUUGUGAAUUUGGUAUUGCAAUAACCCAUUAUGGACUUGAUGUUAUUUUGUAUUUGGUUUUGUUUUAUCGAGGAGUCAAGCCGUGCCGACCCGUGGUGAGUAGUUUUGCUAUUUUAUA